Non-coding RNA from Brachypodium distachyon (stiff brome), 308 nucleotides. Lineage: Eukaryota; Viridiplantae; Streptophyta; Magnoliopsida; Poales; Poaceae. The record is from RefSeq and is marked provisional.
GGACACAUAGCAGCCACGUCGGCAUAAGCGAGUACCGCGGGGUUGCUGUUGUGCAUUCUCAGGGUUUUUUUUACCGCAAAAGCGCCAUUCUGGUUGAUAUGCCUUCUGAUUUCUGGGAAUGGGAGUCAGAAUACAUGGGAUAUUUGAAGUCAAUUUGGGGUUCCAAUUUGGUUUCUGUAUCCUGGAGAUGAAGGGUUUAUGGGAGCACAAGGAGAGAAGAACAUCACUUUUGCGAAAAAAAACCCCUGAGAAAGCACCACAUCAACCCGUGGCCCUGGCUUAUGCCGACGUGGCUACCACAUGUCCAA